Molecule: ribosomal RNA, 807 nt
Filed under: Triticum aestivum (bread wheat)
Lineage: Eukaryota; Viridiplantae; Streptophyta; Magnoliopsida; Poales; Poaceae
Description: partial small subunit ribosomal RNA
Source: RNAcentral
CUUGUUUCGGGGGGCGGUGGGGCAGAAGAGAGGGUGGAGGGCACUAGAGGCAGCAGGGUGGAGGGUGCUAAGUAAACGUCCAGCUCCUUUCCUGCAGCGGGGUGGCGUGGACGGCCUAGACGACUAGGUCGCCGGCCUAGGCGGCUCGGUCGCCGGCCAAGGCGACUCGGUGGCCGGCCUAGGCGGCUCCGUCACCGGCCUAGAGCUAGAAGAUCAGCAGGGGCGGAAGAGGAGGCAGCCGCCGUCCGUCGUCUUUGCACGUUCCGCGCGUGCUGACGAGGUCGGUCUCCUUCCGCGCUCCACGCUGCGCUGCCGCGCACCAGCUCGGCCCGUGCUGUGCCCGUCCGUGGUGGAGUGGUCCCGCGCUGAUGCCGUCGGUUGUAGCCGCGGGUUUAGCGUAGGUGGCUUGGGUUCGCGCCCGAGGCCACCCGCACGCCAAGACGCAAGUUAUCCGUUCGCGCGCGCUCUUUCUCGCGACGAGUGCAGAAGGUCGCUUGGGGUUUCUCUCGUCUCCUCCUCUACUGGUUCCCGCUCCAAGGUAACUAGCCGUAGCUGGAACCCUGCUGGAUGAGGAUGCAGUCGCACACCGUCAUCCAGCUUUAGUACCGGUUGCUGGUCCCGUUGGCGUAUGGUGUGGUGCGGGAGGAUGCAGCGGACUUGGUCGAGCGUUACUUGGGGUGGUUGUGACAGAGGCGAUCUUUGGGUAACCACAUCAUAAAAUUGUCGACGAGUCCUCGUCGACAUGGUCUCGUUCUUAGUGUAGUAGCUGAAGAUGGACGAAGUAGAGUUCCUGUUUAGAGUACGUUG